This 846-nucleotide ribosomal RNA is filed under the name uncultured bacterium. Its description in RNAcentral is "bacterial SSU rRNA". It matches the Rfam family "Bacterial small subunit ribosomal RNA", at positions 8 to 900 of the family's 1533-position model. The record is from RNAcentral.
AGGGUUUGAUCAUGGCUCAGGAUGAACGCUGGCGGCGUGCUUAACACAUGCAAGUCGAACGAACCUUCGGGUUAGUGGCGGACGGGUGAGUAACGCGUGAGAAUCUGCCCUCAGGAGGGGGAUAACGGUUGGAAACGACCGCUAAUACCCCAUAUGCCUAAUGGUGAAACGAAUUUCGCCUGAGGAUGAGCUCGCGUCUGAUUAGCUAGUUGGUGAGGUAAUGGCUCACCAAGGCUUCGAUCAGUAGCUGGUCUGAGAGGAUGAUCAGCCACACUGGGACUGAGACACGGCCCAGACUCCUACGGGAGGCAGCAGUGGGGAAUUUUCCGCAAUGGGCGAAAGCCUGACGGAGCAACGCCGCGUGAGGGACGAAGGCCUCUGGGCUGUAAACCUCUUUUCUCAAGGAAGAAGAUAUGACGGUACUUGAGGAAUAAGCCACGGCUAAUUCCGUGCCAGCAGCCGCGGUAAUACGGGAGUGGCAAGCGUUAUCCGGAAUUAUUGGGCGUAAAGCGUCCGCAGGCGGCUUUUCAAGUCUGCUGUUAAAGCGUGGAGCUUAACUCCAUCAUGGCAGUGGAAACUGAAAGGCUUGAGUAUGGUAGGGGCAGAGGGAAUUCCCGGUGUAGCGGUGAAAUGCGUAGAUAUCGGGAAGAACACCAGUGGCGAAGGCGCUCUGCUGGGCCAUUACUGACGCUCAUGGACGAAAGCCAGGGGAGCGAAAGGGAUUAGAUACCCCUGUAGUCCUGGCCGUAAACGAUGAACACUAGGUGUCGGGGGAAUCGACCCCUUCGGUGUCGUAGCUAACGCGUUAAGUGUUCCGCCUGGGGAGUACGCACGCAAGUGUGAAAC